Molecule: ribosomal RNA, 868 nt
Filed under: uncultured archaeon
Lineage: Archaea
Description: bacterial SSU rRNA
Rfam family: Archaeal small subunit ribosomal RNA
Source: RNAcentral
UUCCGGUUGAUCCUGCCGGACCCGACUGCUAUCAGAGUGGGACUAAGCCAUGCGAGUCAACAUAGCAAUAUGUGGCAUACGGCUCAGUAACACGUAGUCAACAUGCCCAGGGGACGUGGAUAACCUCGGGAAACUGAGGAUAAACCGCGAUAGGUCAUCACUUCUGGAAUGGGUAAUGACUUAAAUCUAUAUGGCCCCUGGAUUGGACUGCGGCCGAUCAGGCUGUUGGUGAGGUAAUGGCCCACCAAACCUGUAACCGGUACGGGCUCUGAGAGGAGGAGCCCGGAGAUGGGCACUGAGACAAGGGCCCAGGCCCUAUGGGGCGCAGCAGGCGCGAAACCUCUGCAAUAGGCGAAAGCUUGACAGGGUUACUCUGAGUGAUUUCCGUUAAGGAGAUCUUUUGGCACCUCUAAAAAUGGUGCAGAAUAAGGGGUGGGCAAGUCUGGUGUCAGCCGCCGCGGUAAUACCAGCACCCCGAGUGGUCGGGACGUUUAUUGGGCCUAAAGCAUCCGUAGCCGGUUCUACAAGUCUUCCGUUAAAUCCACCUGCUUAACAGAUGGGCUGCGGAAGAUACUAUAGAGCUAGGAGGCGGGAGAGGCAAGCGGUACUCGAUGGGUAGGGGUAAAAUCCGUUGAUCCAUUGAAGACCACCAGUGGCGAAGGCGGCUUGCCAGAACGCGCUCGACGGUGAGGGAUGAAAGCUGGGGGAGCAAACCGGAUUAGAUACCCGGGUAGUCCCAGCUGUAAACGAUGCAGACUCGGUGAUGAGUUGGCUUAUUGCUAACUCAGUGCCGCAGGGAAGCCGUUAAGUUUGCAGCCUGGGGAGUACGGUCGCAAGACUGAAACUAAAGCUUAUAGGGGGGGGAGCA